Podarcis muralis (Common wall lizard) is the source of this 1793-nucleotide non-coding RNA. Lineage: Eukaryota; Metazoa; Chordata; Lepidosauria; Squamata; Lacertidae. The record is from RefSeq and is a predicted model, not a curated record.
CAGUAUAAAUCAUUUUCAGUCAUAUCUACGUGAUCUCCCAACUGAUCACAGGGAUAAUGUGAAAUCUUUCUGAUUUAAAAUGGGGUUAUUUGGGGGGGGACAGGACGUGGGGCCUGUGGGCCAAGUCAGGCCCCUUAAAAAGAGAAGUGCCUGGCCUCUGGCAACCUUACCUCAUUUUAAAUGAGGUGUGGCUCAGAGUUUGUUGUGAUUUCAGUGUGUGUGUGUGUAUAUGUGUGUGUGUGCAUUGUGUGAGAGAUCCUUCAAUAAGAGGUCUUUUGGAGUUUCAUGCAUGAUUUCCCUUGUAUAACUGAGGACAUUUGUUCCAUAACUUUGUGUGGGAUGGAGCAGAUAUUACAGAGUCCCAUGGAAGGGGCAGUUUAUGUGACAAAAUAGUCCACUUCUAACUUUCCUACCUUGCUCUCUCAAGAUUCAACUUGGCAUCUGAUGAAGUAGGCUGUUGGCUAUGAAAGCUCAUGCCAAUUUGCAAUAAAAAGCUUAUGAAGAAGUAAUCUCAAGGUGCUGUCAAAUAUGUAUCUAAUAAUAAUAAUGAUAAAAAUAAUAAUAAACUAGCACAACUUCCAUAUUACAUAAAUCAGGGUAUUUUUAUUAUGAGAAUGUGCAGUAGAAAGUAUUGGGUUCACACACAGCCUCCUUUGCUCCCCCGCCCCCAUCCUCUUGUUCUAAUAUGAGGGAAGAGUAGAAGUGUCCUGUUCUGGCUUGCAGCAAAUUGUGAUUUGUCCUCAAAACAAAGAGACACACAAACCAUGGUUUAUCUUCAUCUCCUGCUGUGCUUUUGGGAUCUUCACUUGACAGCACUCUACGGGUUGCUGCAAACUAGAAGCAGAAGCUUUACUCUCACCUCAUGUAUGAAAUAAGAGAGAAGGGUUGGAGGGCAUCUGCAAACCUGAUGAUUGGCACUGCUCUUUCUCUAAAGGACAAACUGUGUUUUGACAUUAUGUCUGAAUUAAGAUACAUACAAGAUGCAAAGUUUUAACUGGAAAACACAAGUCAGAUUGUUGCUUAACUGUGAUCCUGGGCACAUUUACUUGGAAACAAGUUCCUUUGAAACAAAAGGUUUUAUUCUAAGUAACUUUACGUCCCUUUUCUAAAGGCAUUUUGUAUGAAAGUAACUGCGAGUCUUCUAGAUGACAUGCAUGGAGUUUCCAGGCAGUCUUCCAUCUAGAAACUGGCUGGAUCCAGACCUACUUAGCUUCAGCAGGGUCCAGGCUAUGAUAGGGAGCCAUUCCUUCCACUAGGCAAGUUGCUUUAAGCAGAUGUUUGAGAGAGCAGGGAAACAGCUGCUAUCCUGCUGUAACAAGUCUUGUUAUUGUGUUGAGUGUUUUGGCCCACUUCCAGAGGACAGCCCUGUUCUAUAGUGGUCACAGUGUUCUGAAGAGGACAUGAUGGGCCUCAAUAUGGACUGGAGAAAGAGUAUGGGUGGCACUUGGACAUGUGUCUAUAUAGGAGCAAUAAAUAGGAGCAUUAAACAAAGGACAGAGCAGAGUGCUAUCCAGUGGACACCCAUCAUUUAAACCAAUUUGAAAGUCAUAGUUUCUCCAGAAUUGUAGUUUUGUAGAUCCUUAGAGCUCUUUGUUAUUUUUGUGAGAAAGCUGAGGAUAUAUCAGUGCAAUGGCAUAGCUCAGUCUUUCACAAUGAUCAUGCGCUUUUUCAGAAAAACACCAAAUAUACAACAUUUCUGGAAUAAUAUAUAGUGCUCAUUUUCAGACAUUGCUGUGCACAUGCAUAUCUGAUUGAGCAUGGCAUAACACACCCAUAGUAUAAUUGUUCGCUUU